This 229-nucleotide long non-coding RNA is filed under the name Olea europaea (common olive). RNAcentral describes it as "long non-coding RNA (OEUR_LNC008493)". Lineage: Eukaryota; Viridiplantae; Streptophyta; Magnoliopsida; Lamiales; Oleaceae. The record is from RNAcentral.
ACAAAUCUACAGCACCUCCGUCCCCACCACAGAACCGCACGCCUCCACCACCACCGCUCAUCACCCACUCACUCAACCACCACAUCACCACCACAUCUACAACAGCCUAGUACGACAAUACCCUAUUACCACCACAAUCCACACUAUACCGCCACCACCCCCAACGAAACCAUUGUAUUGUCCCACUCCACAGAAUCGAAGCGGUUGCAAACCAGUGCUUCACAUCGCC